This 441-nucleotide ribosomal RNA is filed under the name uncultured bacterium. RNAcentral describes it as "partial 16S ribosomal RNA". It matches the Rfam family "Bacterial small subunit ribosomal RNA", at positions 338 to 795 of the family's 1533-position model. The record is from RNAcentral.
CCUACGGGAGGCAGCAGUGGGGGAUAUUGCACAAUGGGGGGAACCCUGAUGCAGCGACGCCGCGUGGGUGAAGGAGCGUUUCGGCGCGUAAAGCCCUAUCGGCAGGGAAGAAGGAGGACGGUACCUGACUAAGAAGCCCCGGCUAACUACGUGCCAGCAGCCGCGGUAAUACGUAGGGGGCAAGCGUUAUCCGGAUUUACUGGGUGUAAAGGGGGCGCAGGCUGUGAGGUAAGUCAGCGGUGAAUGCCCCCGCUCAACGGGGUGAAGUGCCAUUGAUACUGCCUUGCUGGAAUGCGGAUGCCGUGGGAGGAAUGUGUGGUGUAGCGGUGAAAUGCAUAGAUAUCACACAGAACACCGAUUGCGAAGGCAUCUCACGAAUCCGCGAUUGACGCUGAUGCACGAAAGCGUGGGUAUCAAACAGGAUUAGAUACCCUUGUAGUC